UACGUAGGGUGCAAGCGUUAAUCGGAAUUACUGGGCGUAAAGCGUGCGCAGGCGGUUUUGUAAGCCAGAUGUGAAAUCCCCGGGCUUAACCUGGGAAUGGCAUUUGGGACUGCAAGGCUCGAGUGCGGCAGAGGAGACUGGAAUUCCUGGUGUAGCAGUGAAAUGCGUAGAUAUCAGGAGGAACACCGAUGGCGAAGGCAGAUCUCUGGGCCGUAACUGACGCUGAGGAGCGAAAGCGUGGGGAGCGAACAGG
RNAcentral lists this ribosomal RNA (253 nucleotides) under uncultured bacterium. RNAcentral describes it as "partial 16S ribosomal RNA". It matches the Rfam family "Bacterial small subunit ribosomal RNA", at positions 524 to 776 of the family's 1533-position model. The record is from RNAcentral.